AGUAACACGUAAACAACCUGCCUUCAGGAUGGGGACAACAGACGGAAACGACUGCUAAUACCGAAUAAGUUCCAAGAGCCGCAUGGCCCAUGGAAGAAAAGGUGGCCUCUACCUGUAAGCUAUCGCCUGAAGAGGGGUUUGCGUCUGAUUAGCUGGUUGGAGGGGUAACGGCCCACCAAGGCGACGAUCAGUAGCCGGUCUGAGAGGUUGAACGGCCACACUGGAACUGAGACACGGUCCAGACUCCUACGGGAGGCAGCAUG
RNAcentral lists this ribosomal RNA (263 nucleotides) under uncultured bacterium. Its description in RNAcentral is "partial 16S ribosomal RNA". It matches the Rfam family "Bacterial small subunit ribosomal RNA", at positions 109 to 353 of the family's 1533-position model. The record is from RNAcentral.